CUUGCUUCCUAUUAAAAUCCUUUUCUCCUUCUCCUUAAUCUGUUGAGCCAUGCCUUGAAAAUGAAAGAUAUUAGUGAGGUUUUUAUCAGCUUUUGUACUUAAUUCAGUGCAGAAAUUGUACGUGGCAUGUAGGGAAGGGGAAGCAACCUGUUGUUUUAGGCAUUCUGCCAUCUCAUGCAGAUUUGUGGAAGGAGCUAAUGAAUGGGUGGUGUAAUAACAUUAAGCCAACGCCCAUCUAUUUUACAACCUUUGUCAGGCUUCCAAAGAUGAGAAUAGAAUUGAAAGCUCCCAAGGGCUUUCCAAAAAUUCAGCUCGGUGAGGGAAGUGUUCCCGGAGAUCUCUGGGUACUGUUACUGUGUGGACAGCCUGGGCAGGGAACUAGCAGACACAGGCCUGGAGCUGCUGCUUGAUGAAGUUUACGAGACGAUUUUCUCGGAGCCAGAGCCUGCCCGCACGUUCACAGAGAGCAGCAUCCAUCGGAUCCUGCAGAGGCGAUUCCUGGGGGUCCAGCUGGCUACCUCUGGCAAGUUCAGGUGUAAGUAGCACCCAGGAGAUGCCCUGUAAAUCAGGUGGCAGUUCUGGAACUUUUAUAUGACAGCUGCUGUUGGGGAGAGUUGUUCUAGGACUUUUUUGCUCUAAAAAUGUAUAAUGUCACAGUUCCAGUGCAGGAAUCAAGGUCCCUGAAUUGCAGAUGGCUUUUGUCCUCUGCACUGUACAGUCUUUACCAGCAGAUU
Molecule: long non-coding RNA, 734 nt
Filed under: Taeniopygia guttata (zebra finch)
Lineage: Eukaryota; Metazoa; Chordata; Aves; Passeriformes; Estrildidae
Description: lncRNA (ENSTGUG00000027614.1)
Source: RNAcentral